RNAcentral lists this ribosomal RNA (220 nucleotides) under uncultured bacterium. RNAcentral describes it as "partial 16S ribosomal RNA". It matches the Rfam family "Bacterial small subunit ribosomal RNA", at positions 524 to 744 of the family's 1533-position model. The record is from RNAcentral.
UACGUAGGGGGCAAGCGUUGUCCGGAAUCAUUGGGCGUAAAGCGCGUGUAGGCGGCCCGGUAAGUCCGCUGUGAAAGUCGGGGCUCAACCCUCGGAUGCCGGUGGAUACUGUCGGGCUAGAGUGCGGAAGAGGCGAGUGGAAUUCCUGGUGUAGCGGUGAAAUGCGCAGAUAUCAGGAGGAACACCAAUUGCGAAGGCAGCUCGCUGGGACGUGACUGAC